CAUAAAAUAAGAUCAUUCUAGGUAAGAAGAGAUCAAUUCUAAGCAUAAUGAAAGCCACAUUGUAUUCCUUGUGUCCCUGUUGGAGACGACCGCUUUGACUGGGGGUUACAACAGCUUUUCAAAAGGAUGCAAUUACACCCAAGUAGAACCACAUGUGAAAGGCAAGGCUGGCUCCCUGCUCCGUGGCCUCUCUGCACUUGCUUCACCUGCACAGGGAUCCAACAGUGGAAGGAACCCCACAGGCUGCCAAGGGGAGACCUGCGGGCAGUGGGAAUAGGUGGAGGAAAACGCUCUGGGAUGCUGGCAGGACCAACCCUGGAAGGGGAAGGCUGGGAAGUCCUGCCCCAUCCUCUUGGCUCUCUCAACCACUGCUUUGCCUUCAUUAACCCUGCAUCCCUGUGCAGGCCAGGCAGGGAAGCUGCCACCCUGU
Long non-coding RNA from Melopsittacus undulatus (budgerigar), 430 nucleotides. RefSeq lists it as uncharacterized. Lineage: Eukaryota; Metazoa; Chordata; Aves; Psittaciformes; Psittaculidae. The record is from RefSeq and is a predicted model, not a curated record. The transcript is spliced from 3 exons.